GGGCGCCAGCCGCCACGGCAAGCGCCGCGUCCCUGGCAAUUUCCGAGGCUGUAAAGGGGAGCGCAGGGUGAAAAUCCCGCAUGCGCCCGCCA
Molecule: transfer RNA, 92 nt
Filed under: Mycobacterium tuberculosis
Lineage: Bacteria; Bacillati; Actinomycetota; Actinomycetes; Mycobacteriales; Mycobacteriaceae
Description: tRNA-OTHER
Source: RNAcentral